GAACGCCCUUUUGCUUUGGCAGGAGGGAGUGGCGGACGGGUGAGUAACACAUGGGUGACCGACCCUUUGGUGAGGAAUACCGGCGAGAAAUCGUCGACAAGACCGCAUAGGCUUCCUUUAGGAAGCAAAGCUCCGCAAGGGGCGCCAGAGGACGGGCCUGUGGCCGAUUAGCUAGUUGGGGAGGUAAAAGCCCCCCAAGGCGACGAUCGGUAGCUGGUCUGAGAGGAUGAUCAGCCACACUGGGAUUGAGAACGGCCCAGACUCCUACGGGAGGCAGCAGUGAGGAAUUUUCGGCAAUGGGCGCAAGCCUGACCGAGCAACGCCGCGUGCAGGAGGAAGGUCUUCGGAUCGUAAACUGCUUUUCUCGGGGACGAGUUACGGACGGUACCCGAGGAAGAAGCCCCGGCUGACUACGUG
This 417-nucleotide ribosomal RNA is filed under the name uncultured bacterium. RNAcentral describes it as "bacterial SSU rRNA". It matches the Rfam family "Bacterial small subunit ribosomal RNA", at positions 64 to 507 of the family's 1533-position model. The record is from RNAcentral.